Molecule: non-coding RNA, 190 nt
Organism: Phytophthora infestans T30-4
Lineage: Eukaryota; Oomycota; Peronosporomycetes; Peronosporales; Peronosporaceae
Source: Rfam
AUACCUUCUCGGCCUCUUGGCUAAGAUCAAGUGUAGUAUCUGUUCUAAUCAUUGUGAAAACUGGUUUUCGCCUUUUGGCGGACUUGUUCACUCGCAUUUUUGGGCAAACGUCUGCGGCUAGCUUGCUAGCGGCGGAUGUGACGGGGUCACACAGCACCUUGCGCUAGAGGAAGUUAUCUUCCGAGAGUUU